RNAcentral lists this ribosomal RNA (467 nucleotides) under uncultured bacterium. RNAcentral's name for it is "partial 16S ribosomal RNA". It matches the Rfam family "Bacterial small subunit ribosomal RNA", at positions 28 to 507 of the family's 1533-position model. The record is from RNAcentral.
GAUGAACGCUGACAGAAUGCUUAACACAUGCAAGUCAACUUGAAUUUGGGUUUUUAACUUAGGUUUGGGUGGCGGACGGGUGAGUAACGCGUAAAGAACUUGCCUCCCAGCUAGGGACAACAUUUGGAAACGAAUGCUAAUACCUAAUAUUAUGAUAAUAGGGCAUCCUAUAAUUAUGAAAGCUAUAAGCGCUGUGAGAGAGCUUUGCGUCCCAUUAGCUAGAUGGAGAGGUAACGGCUCACCAAGGCGAUGAUGGGUAGCCGGCCUGAGAGGGUGAUCGGCCACAAGGGGACUGAGACACGGCCCUUACUCCUUCGGGAGGCAGCAGUGGGGAAUAUUGGACAAUGGACCGAGAGUCUGAUCCAGCAAUUCUGUGUGCACGAUGAAGUUUUUCGGAAUGUAAAGUGCUUUCAGUUGGGAAGAAACAAAUGACGGUACCAACAGAAGAAGUGACGGCUAAAUACGUG